UAGGGGUGACGACGGUAGAAAUCGCGGGGAUCAACAUGAUAAUCAUUGGUUGGAUAUCUUAGAUAAAUGAAGGAUUGACGGGGCGCUAAAUUUUUAGGUUACUUAGUCCACAGAAAAGAGGAUAUUGACUUUGGCGCAUCGACGAGUGAAGAUUUAAUGGCCGUCUGUCCCAUGGAUUCGGAGCGCAGCGUUGUAAACAAGUUUUGUUAGCUAUUUAGUUGGUAUCACUCUCGUUUAGUAUAUCCCUUGAAUUUAUAUGUUGCCGUGGAUCGGUCGGUUGGUGUAGUGUGUCCUAGGUUGAAUUUCAAGAGGUGGCAAGGGCCUCGGUUUUCAAGAUAUGGAUGAAAUCCAGGGAUCUGCUGUCGAUGUAGACUCUUCAGCUGUGCCUGGGUAGAUUCUUAGACAUAUAUGUUGUUGAGGAGCUGGGUUUGCUCAUAAAUUGUUUGUUUUUAAGACGGCGGCGGGCCCAGCCAUGCUAGCGGCGGC
Molecule: long non-coding RNA, 486 nt
Organism: Pollicipes pollicipes
Lineage: Eukaryota; Metazoa; Arthropoda; Thecostraca; Pollicipedomorpha; Pollicipedidae
Exons: 3
Source: RefSeq, a predicted model, not a curated record